Molecule: transfer RNA, 68 nt
Filed under: Marmota monax (woodchuck)
Lineage: Eukaryota; Metazoa; Chordata; Mammalia; Rodentia; Sciuridae
Description: tRNA.Gly
Source: RNAcentral
GGACUAUAGCUCAGUGGUAGAGUGCUUGCCUACCACAUAUGAGGCACUGGGUUCAAUCCUCAGCACCA